Vigna unguiculata (cowpea) is the source of this 398-nucleotide long non-coding RNA. The record is from RefSeq and is a predicted model, not a curated record. NCBI's taxonomy places the organism in Eukaryota, Viridiplantae, Streptophyta, Magnoliopsida, Fabales, Fabaceae.
CUGAAGUGUUCUACAAAAUGCUUUAGUCUUAUCUUCCCAUCUGAAACAAAGUGUUUGCCCCACUGCACCCGAACGUCUCCCUUUUAUUUUUUUCUGUCUCUCUCUGUCGGCAUCAUGAGACCAGAAAAUAACCCUUUGGAUCUCAACAACUUUCCCGAUGAGUACUCCAGAGAUGGCAAACAACUCUUCCAAGACACUUUCUCAUCCGAAGGAUACCAGAGAAACAAAGACGUGUUGAAGGAUGAUGAGAGUGAGAAGGUCUACGAGUGUAGAUUUUGUUCACUCAAGUUCUGCAAAUCACAGGCUCUUGGGGGACACAUGAACCGCCACCGCCAAGGCUAGAUAUAGCUGCUAUCUUCAUAACUUUUGUUGUUUUAUAUCUUUUUACCGUUUCCCCA